Long non-coding RNA from Oreochromis aureus, 431 nucleotides. RefSeq lists it as uncharacterized. The transcript has 3 exons. NCBI's taxonomy places the organism in Eukaryota, Metazoa, Chordata, Actinopteri, Cichliformes, Cichlidae. The record is from RefSeq and is a predicted model, not a curated record.
CAUGUUCUUAGUCAGUGUCAUAAAUGAAGACAGAAAACUAACAGUGUCAGUGUCAACUUUGCUCUAUCAGGACUCCUUUUCUUCAACAUGGCCUACACACAAUUACUGAGGCAAAAUAUUGAAAGACCUGUGCAAAACAAAGGUUUUCCGAGAGCUGCACCUUCUCCCAAAUGGUACGGUCGAUUUCCCAAGACGACAAAGGAAAUCUGAUGCACAGCGAAUAGAGGAAGAGAAUGCAAGGUAAACAAAGAAGACUAACAAUGCAUAGGAUUUAAAAUUACGGAUGGCUUUUUUUUUUAAAAUUGACUGUUAAACCUGUAGACACAAUUUAAUCACCUGCCAGAAGAGUCUGACAACAUACACAUUUCUUGGAGAAGGCCUAUUGCAGCAACAACAAGAAUAAAUGAAGACGGAUAAUGGACAGUUGACAA